CCGUUAAAACCAAAUGAGAGGUGUUCUGCUGUUACCAGAAUUAAUGAGAAGACUCUAACGGU
Molecule: transfer RNA, 62 nt
Filed under: Goniodes dissimilis (brown chicken louse)
Lineage: Eukaryota; Metazoa; Arthropoda; Insecta; Psocodea; Philopteridae
Description: tRNA-Asn
Source: RNAcentral